RNAcentral lists this long non-coding RNA (2354 nucleotides) under Dermacentor andersoni. RNAcentral's name for it is "uncharacterized LOC126521893". The record is from RNAcentral. Lineage: Eukaryota; Metazoa; Arthropoda; Arachnida; Ixodida; Ixodidae.
AUGUGUACUCUGUUUACAUUACAGUUGUUUAUUAGUUUACUCGUUUGUUUUGCGACUGGUGAAAUGCCGGCAUAUAUAUAUUUUCAACAUUUGACAUAACCCUGUAUGUUUUGCAGGGACAACCCAGGACGUGCAUUUCUCAGCACCCAGUCAACUGCCAAAAGUGACUCAAACACAGGCCACCAGUGGAACUCGGCUGUACCACUGCAGUGCUGCAGAAAUUGCCUUCACCAGCGGCUUUGCAACAGCUGUUUCGCAGCAUGUCGGAGACAAUGCCUACGAAAUUAUUGGCCCUGAUCAUGAGAGCCCUCAAGGGGCAAACAUCUCUGUUGCAGAAGUGAGCCCGAUACCACUUGGAAGUUACCAUGACAGAUGACACGGCAGCAAUAGAUACAGAGACUGCCAUGUCUACUGCAGCUGCAACAGUGUACGAGGCAAGCAGCAGCGCGUCAGCAUCAGCAGCAGUGUCAGAAGGAACCACACCAGGCCUGGUAGAGCAACAUGUGUGCUAUCACUGACUUUUUUUGUAGUGGAUACAACUCAUUUGCUCAACAUACAAAAGCUUUUCACCACGACUGUGAGCCAGUGUUAUUGUGCAGCAAGUGCAAGACUAAGUUAGGUGUUAUAACACAGUACAAGCAUCACUUUAAUAUAUGCAAAUGCAAACAUAUUACAGUUGUUGCCUCCCCAGCCAGCCCACAUAGUGACAACAAUGUGGACCACAUGGUGGGACACACCUCUUCCCCAUUACAAGAUAGUAGAGACUGUCAGUGUUGUUGCUAGAUUGACUGGUCUUUGUAGGCAACUAGAAGGACAACACAGGUGUCAUAAGAUUGUUGUUGAUGUUGUUGUUGAAGAGGUAAAAAAGAAGUUUGAUGCAGCUGAAGUGCCAACUGAUAUUGAGCAAAUCAAAAGCAACCACCUGAGAAAACAAGACUAUCGAAAUUUGGGUAUUUAUGUGCCGCCAACUCUGGUAAGAAUGGCAUAGGACAGAAGUGUGAUGAAAAUCACACAGACACUGCUGUUGCAUCACUGGCCACAGUGAGCAGCGACUUGUAGGGCAAGAGAGUCAACUGAAACUAACAUUAUGAUAUAGUGUCAUGCUCCCAUGUGACCACUUUUCAAGUUAUUUUGCAAGAUACAGCUCAACCUCCAGAAACGAGACUGCAACUUGUCUGUAAAAAAGCUUUCACAAAAAAUUAUUCAUAACACUAUUAACAUAGCAGUAUCUUUUUUUUUUGUGUCGGUUCGAGGUUCCCGGCUGUCCAUUAAUGCAAAAAUUGAGGAAAAAAAAGAACAUGUGUCGUACUUACACCUUUUUAACAAGUACGAGGGGGACAGAACUUUUCUAGUCAUGCAUCUUCAUCAUACUAUCAAGUUUUUAAAUGCCUUUUAUAAUUAUUAUUACCAGUUGUAUCUGAGUGCAUUGUAUGCAUGUAGCAGGUGUAAAAUCAGGUCAGUUGGAUCAGAUGCCUUAUCUGCAAGCGAGCCCUAUAUUCAAGAAAUUUGAAUUAAAAUAGUUACGUUAGAGACGCAGCCUUUCAGCACUUUAUUGCCUGUGGUUUAAGCAUUGCUCAAUACUUUUGUGGGUGGCAAUUUCAACCGGCACAGCACUGCGCUUUGCCACAGUCACAUUUGUCUUCAAAGCGGUGUUUACCAUUUGUGUUGAUCUGUUUGUGUAUGCAUAGAGCAAGUUCUUAAUUUAUAUUUUUCUGCAUUCUUGUGCUUGCACUAAGCUUGUAUAAGGCAGUUACAAAAUGUGCGUCACUAUAACGAACUGUUCUGUUGAGCUUACACUUGCAAAUAAUCGUGUUCAGAUGGCCGCACUUCUAUGCGGGUGCACCGCUAGCUUUGUGUAUGUUCUCAUGUUUGUAUAAAGCUUAUAUAAGCUAGUUAGAAAAUGUAUGUCACUAAGCAUUGUGAUAUUCUUUAAAGAACUGCUUGGUUGGUUUUACACUUGUGAAUUCGUAUUGAGGCGGUGGUAUUCCCAUGUAUGCCCACUGCUAGCUUUCUGUGUCCUCACGUGUUUGUAUUAAGUUUCUACAAGGGAGUUACAGCAUGUACGUCACUAAGCGCUGUGAUAUUUUUUAAAGAACUGCUUUGUUGGUUUUACACCUGUGAGUAAUAGUACUCGGGUGGCACUAGUCAUGUGUAGGUACACAGGGACCAUUUGUAUACAUUAUGCUCAUGUAAAGCAGUUACAAAGUGUAUGUCACUAAUUACUGUGAUAUUUGUUGAAUUGCUGUGAUGGUUUUACACAUGUGAAUAAUAGUGGUCAGGACACAGUACUUGCGGUGUAUAGUUGAAUUUAUACACUGCCAAGACAUGGGCUGUAAGUACCAAAAGAAAUGUAU